UACGUAGGGUGCAAGCGUUGUCCGGAAUUACUGGGUAUAAAGGGUGCGCAGGCGGACUUGUGCGUCAGGGGUUAAAGACUUCGGCUCAACCGAAGAAAAGCCCUUGAUACGGCAGGUCUUGAGUGUGAGAGAGGAAGGUAGAAUUCCUGGUGUAGCGGUGAAAUGCGUAGAUAUCAGGAGGAAUACCAGUGGCGAAGGCGGCCUUCUGGCUCACCACUGACGCUCAGGCACGAAAGCGUGGGUAGCGAACAGG
This 253-nucleotide ribosomal RNA is filed under the name uncultured bacterium. RNAcentral's name for it is "partial 16S ribosomal RNA". It matches the Rfam family "Bacterial small subunit ribosomal RNA", at positions 524 to 776 of the family's 1533-position model. The record is from RNAcentral.